UGGGGAAUAUUGCACAAUGGGCGCAAGCCUGAUGCAGCGACGCCGCGUGGGGGAUGACGGCCUUCGGGUUGUAAACUCCUUUCGCUUGGGACGAAGCUUUUUGUGACGGUACCUAGAUAAGAAGCACCGGCUAACUACGUGCCAGCAGCCGCGGUAAUACGUAGGGUGCGAGCGUUGUCCGGAAUUACUGGGCGUAAAGGGCUCGUAGGUGGUUUGUCACGUCGUCUGUGAAAUUCCGGGGCUUAACUCCGGGCGUGCAGGCGAUACGGGCAUAACUUGAGUACUGUAGGGGUAACGGGAAUUCCUGGUGUAGCGGUGAAAUGCGCAGAUAUCAGGAGGAACACCGAUGGCGAAGGCAGGUUACUGGGCAGUUACUGACGCUGAGGAGCGAAAGCAUGGGUAGCGAACAGG
RNAcentral lists this ribosomal RNA (411 nucleotides) under Actinomycetes bacterium. RNAcentral's name for it is "Actinobacteria bacterium partial 16S ribosomal RNA". It matches the Rfam family "Bacterial small subunit ribosomal RNA", at positions 355 to 776 of the family's 1533-position model. Lineage: Bacteria; Bacillati; Actinomycetota; Actinomycetes. The record is from RNAcentral.